CUACGGGAGGCAGCAGUGGGGAAUAUUGGACAAUGGGGGCAACCCUGAUCCAGCAAUGCCGCGUGUGUGAAGAAGGUCUUCGGAUUGUAAAGCACUUUCACUAGGGAAGAUGAUGACGGUACCUAGAGAAGAAGCCCCGGCUAACUUCGUGCCAGCAGCCGCGGUAAUACGAAGGGGGCUAGCGUUGCUCGGAAUGACUGGGCGUAAAGGGCGCGUAGGCUGUUUGUACAGUCAGAUGUGAAAUCCCCGGGCUUAACCUGGGAACUGCAUUUGAUACGUGCAGACUAGAGUCCGAGAGAGGGUUGUGGAAUUCCCAGUGUAGAGGUGAAAUUCGUAGAUAUUGGGAAGAACACCGGUUGCGAAGGCGGCAACCUGGCUCGGAACUGACGCUGAAGCGCGAAAGCGUGGGGAGCGAACAGGAUUAGAUACCCUGGUAGUCCACGCUGUAAACGAUGUGUGCUGGAUGUUGGGUGAUUUUAUCAUUCANUGUCGGANCUAACCCGUUAAGCACNCCGCCUGGGGAGUACCGCCCCAAGGUUNAAACUCAAAGNAAUUGACNGGGGCCCGCACAAACGGUG
This 578-nucleotide ribosomal RNA is filed under the name Acetobacteraceae bacterium CP1. RNAcentral describes it as "bacterial SSU rRNA". It matches the Rfam family "Bacterial small subunit ribosomal RNA", at positions 339 to 934 of the family's 1533-position model. Lineage: Bacteria; Pseudomonadati; Pseudomonadota; Alphaproteobacteria; Acetobacterales; Acetobacteraceae. The record is from RNAcentral.